Molecule: non-coding RNA, 2534 nt
Organism: Pelobates cultripes (western spadefoot toad)
Lineage: Eukaryota; Metazoa; Chordata; Amphibia; Anura; Pelobatidae
Source: the annotation of a GenBank genome assembly
CACGUGUCAGCAUUAUGGAUAGAGCUGUAUGGGCUACUGUUAACAAGCAUUGGAAUGAAUCCCAUACCAUUAUUGCAGGGGAGUUAGGAGCCCCUUUGUGUCUGCAUUCUGCUACUCCUAUUCAGGAAUCCACUGUUACAUUGUCUGUUCUAUUGAAACACAUUACUUUCUAUAUCACACAGUAAACACACACAUCGACACAGCUUUGUGAGAUGUGUGCACACUGACUGUAAGUAAAUAGAGAAAUCCCCCAGGGCAUUGUUUACUGGGUCCUUAUGCACAAUUUGCUGCAAAUACAUCUUAAUACUGUAAGUUACUGCUUUAUCACCUUUUGUCUAAAUGUAUCCUGCAAUGUCAAUAUACACAACAGACACUGAAUUCUGGCUUUCUCUUCUUUGCUCUCAUAGAAAGCUGGCAAUACAAAGCAGGCAGACACUGGGAGAGAAUGCACUAAACAAGCUGGAAAAAUGGUGUUAGAGAGAAAACAAAGGAUGGAAAAAAAAUGUAAGUCACAUGCAGUGUAUCUUUAUAUGACUUUAUUAUAUAAUUCAAAUAGUAAACCUGCCUAUACUUUAUAUAAUUAAUAACAAACUGCACCCCACUAUACUAUAAUAACAAACUGCACCCCACUAUACUAUAAUAACAAACUGCACCCCACUAUACUGUAAUACCAUACUGCACCCCCACUAUACUAUAAUACCAUACUGCACCCCCACUAUACUAUAAUACCAUACUGCACCCCACUACACUAUACCAACAUACUGCACCCCACUAUACAAUAAUACCAUACUGCACCCCCACUAUACUAUAAUAACAAACUGCACCCCACUAUACUAUAAUACCAUACUGCACCCCACUAUACUAUAAUACAAUACUGCACCCCACUAUACUAUAAUACCAUAAUGCACCCCCACUAUACUAUACCAACAUACUGCACCCCACUAUACUAUACCAACAUACUGCACCCCACUACACUAUAAUACCAUACUGCACCCCACUAUACUAUAAUACCAUACUGCACCCCCACUAUACUAUAAUAACAAACUGCACCCCCACUAUACUAUAAUACCAUACUGCACCCCACUAUACUAUAACAACAUACUGCACCCUACUACACUAUAAUAACAAACUGCACCCCACUAUACUAUAAUACCAUACUGCACCCCCACUAUACUAUAAUAACAUACUGCACCCCCACUAUACUAUAAUAACAAACUGCACCCCACUAUACUAUAAUAACAUACUGCACCCCCACUAUACUAUAAUAACAUACUGCACCCCCACUAUACUCUAAUAACAAACUGCACCCCCACUAUACUAUAAUAACAAACUGCACCCCACUAUACUAUAAUACCAUACUGCACCCCCACUAUACUAUAAUAACAAACUGCACCCCACUAUACUAUAAUAACAAACUGCACCCCACUAUACUAUAAUACCAUUCUGCACCCCACUAUACUAUAAUACCAUACUGCACCCCCACUAUACUAUAAUAACAAACUGCACCCCACUAUAUUAUAAUAACAAACUGCACCCCACUAUACUAUAAUAACAAACUGCACCCCACUAUACUAUAAUACUAUUUCAGCACCCCACUAUACUAUAAUGUACCAUUCUGCACCCCACUAUACUACAUAUAUAAUACCAUACUGCACAAAUCUACUAUACUAUAAUAACAAACUGCACCCUACCAUAUUAUAAUAACAAACUGCACCCUCUACUAUACUAUAUAUAAUAACAAACUGCACCCCUACUAUAUUGUUAAUACCAUACUGCACCCCUACUAUACUAUAUAAACAACAAACUGCACCCUACUCAUACUCAUAUACCAAAUAACAUACUGCACCCCACUAUACUAUAAUACCAUACUGCACCUCCUUACUCAUACUAUAAUACCAUACUGCACCCCAUUAUACACAAUACCAUACUGCACCCCACUAUACUAUAAUAAUACCAUACUGCACCCCACUAUACUACUAUAAUACCAUACUGCACCCCACCACCAUACCAACAUACUGCACCCCCACUAUAUACUAUAAUAACAUACUGCACCCCACUAUACUAUAAUACCAUUCUGCACCCCACUAUACUAUAAUACCAUACUGCACCCCCACUAUACUAUAAUAACAUACUGCACCCCAUUAAACUAUAAUAACAAACUGCACCCCACUAUACUAUAAUACCAUACUGCACCCCCAUUAUACUAUAAUAACAAACUGCACCCCACUAUACUAUAAUACCAUACUGCACCCCACUAUACUAUACCAACAUACUGCACCCCGCUAUACUAUAAUACCAUACUGCACCCCACUAUACUAUAAUACCAUACUGCACCCCCACUAUACUAUAAUAACAAACUGCACCCCACUAUACUAUAAUACCAUUCUGCACCCCACUAUACUAUAAUACCAUACUGCACAACCACUAUACUAUAAUAACAAACUGCACCCCACUAUAUUAUAAUAACAAACUGCACCCCACUAUACUAUAAUAACAAACUGCACCCCACUAUACUAUAAUACCAUACUGCACCC